This 404-nucleotide ribosomal RNA is filed under the name uncultured Acidicapsa sp. RNAcentral's name for it is "bacterial SSU rRNA". It matches the Rfam family "Bacterial small subunit ribosomal RNA", at positions 355 to 776 of the family's 1533-position model. Lineage: Bacteria; Pseudomonadati; Acidobacteriota; Terriglobia; Terriglobales; Acidobacteriaceae. The record is from RNAcentral.
UGGGGAAUUUUGCGCAAUGGGGGAAACCCUGACGCAGCAACGCCGCGUGGAGGAUGAAGUCCCUUGGGACGUAAACUCCUUUCGAUCGGGACGAUUAUGACGGUACCGGAAGAAGAAGCCCCGGCUAACUUCGUGCCAGCAGCCGCGGUAAUACGAGGGGGGCAAGCGUUGUUCGGAAUUAUUGGGCGUAAAGGGAGUGUAGGCGGUUUGGUAAGUCUCGUGUGAAAUCUUCAGGCUCAACCUGAAGUCUGCACGAGAAACUGCCGGGCUUGAGUAUGGGAGAGGUGAGUGGAAUUCCUGGUGUAGCGGUGAAAUGCGUAGAUAUCAGGAGGAACACCUGUGGCGAAAGCGGCUCACUGGACCAUAACUGACGCUGAGACUCGAAAGCUAGGGGAGCAAACAGG